RNAcentral lists this ribosomal RNA (425 nucleotides) under uncultured bacterium. RNAcentral's name for it is "partial 16S ribosomal RNA". It matches the Rfam family "Bacterial small subunit ribosomal RNA", at positions 354 to 796 of the family's 1533-position model. The record is from RNAcentral.
GUGGGGAAUAUUGGACAAUGGGCGAAAGCCUGAUCCAGCAAUGCCGCGUGAGUGAUGAAGGCCUUAGGGUUGUAAAGCUCUUUUACCCGGGAUGAUAAUGACAGUACCGGGAGAAUAAGCUCCGGCUAACUCCGUGCCAGCAGCCGCGGUAAUACGGAGGGAGCUAGCGUUGUUCGGAAUUACUGGGCGUAAAGCGCACGUAGGCGGCUUUGUAAGUUAGAGGUGAAAGCCUGGAGCUUAACUCCAGAACUGCCUUUAAGACUGCAUCGCUUGAAUCCAGGAGAGGUGAGUUGAAUUCCGAGUGUAGAGGUGAAAUUCGUAGAUAUUCGGAAGAACACCAGUGGCGAAGGCGGCUCACUGGACUGGUAUUGACGCUGAGGUGCGAAAGCGUGGGGAGCAAACAGGAUUAGAAACCCGUGUAGUCC